RNAcentral lists this ribosomal RNA (339 nucleotides) under Escherichia coli. RNAcentral describes it as "partial 23S ribosomal RNA". It matches the Rfam family "Bacterial large subunit ribosomal RNA", at positions 2463 to 2801 of the family's 2925-position model. Lineage: Bacteria; Pseudomonadati; Pseudomonadota; Gammaproteobacteria; Enterobacterales; Enterobacteriaceae. The record is from RNAcentral.
GUACUCCGGGGAUAACAGGCUGAUACCGCCCAAGAGUUCAUAUCGACGGCGGUGUUUGGCACCUCGAUGUCGGCUCAUCACAUCCUGGGGCUGAAGUAGGUCCCAAGGGUAUGGCUGUUCGCCAUUUAAAGUGGUACGCGAGCUGGGUUUAGAACGUCGUGAGACAGUUCGGUCCCUAUCUGCCGUGGGCGCUGGAGAACUGAGGGGGGCUGCUCCUAGUACGAGAGGACCGGAGUGGACGCAUCACUGGUGUUCGGGUUGUCAUGCCAAUGGCACUGCCCGGUAGCUAAAUGCGGAAGAGAUAAGUGCUGAAAGCAUCUAAGCACGAAACUUGCCCCG